GGAUUGUAGCUCAACGGGAGAGCGCUCCCCUAGCAAGGGCAGGACCCGGGUUCAAUUCUCAGCACCA
Molecule: transfer RNA, 67 nt
Filed under: Marmota monax (woodchuck)
Lineage: Eukaryota; Metazoa; Chordata; Mammalia; Rodentia; Sciuridae
Description: tRNA.Ala
Source: RNAcentral